GAAGAAGAACGUAGCGAAAUGCGAUAAGUAAUGUGAAUUGCAGAAUUCAGUGAAUCAUCGAAUCUUUGAACGCACCUUGCGCCCUUUGGCCAUUCCGAAGGGCAUGCCUGUUUGAGUAUCAUGAACACCUCAACUCUUUAUGGUUUUCCAUGAUGAGCUUGGACUCUGGGGGUUUUGCUGGCUCACAGUCGGCUCCUCUGAAAUGAAUCAGCUUACCAGUGUUUGGUGGGUAUCAUAGGUGUGAUAACUAUCUACGCUUGUGGUUUUUCCACCAGGUAACCUUCAGCAGUGGAGGUUCGCUGGAGCUCAUAGAUGUCUCUCCUCAGUGAGGACAGCCCUUUGAAUGUUUGAUCUCAAAUCAGGUAGGACUACCCGCUGAACUUAAGCAUAUCAAUAAGCGGAGGA
RNAcentral lists this unclassified non-coding RNA (405 nucleotides) under soil metagenome. RNAcentral describes it as "partial contains 5.8S ribosomal RNA, internal transcribed spacer 2, and large subunit ribosomal RNA". The stretch from base 1 to 121 matches the Rfam family "5.8S ribosomal RNA", at positions 35 to 154 of the family's 154-position model. The record is from RNAcentral.